Paramuricea clavata is the source of this 506-nucleotide non-coding RNA. NCBI's taxonomy places the organism in Eukaryota, Metazoa, Cnidaria, Anthozoa, Malacalcyonacea, Plexauridae. The record is from the annotation of a GenBank genome assembly.
CAAUGGCUCGGAACCGAGCUCGAAAGGCUCGGAGCCGAGCUCGAAUGGUUCGGAAUCCUUAUCUUCUUAUCUUCCUUAUCUUUAUCUUAUCUUUAUCUUCUUAUCUUCCUUAUCCUUAUCUUUAUCUUCUUAUCUUCCUUAUCUUUAUCUCCUUAUCUUCUUAUCUUUAUCUUCUUAUCUUCCUUAUCAUUAUCUUUAUCUUCUUAUCUUUAUCUCCUUAUCUUUAUCUUCUUAUCUUCCUUAUCCUUAUCUUUAUCUUCUUAUCUUCCUUAUCUUUAUCUUCUUAUCUUCCUUAUCUUUAUCUCCUUAUCUUCUUAUCUUUAUCUUCUUAUCUUUAUCUUCUUAUCCUUAUCUUUAUAGGCUCCAUAGGCUCGGAGCCGAGCUCCUUAGGUUCGGAGCCGAGCUCCUUAAGCUCGGAGCCAAGCUCCUUAGGCUCGAAGCCGAGCUCCUUAGACUCGGAGCCGAGCUCCUUAGGCUCAGAGCCGAGCUCGUUAGGCUCGGAACCG